CCUACGGGUGGCAGCAGUGGGGAAUAUUGCACAAUGGGGGAAACCCUGAUGCAGCGACGCCGCGUGAAGGAAGAAGUAUUUCGGUAUGUAAACUUCUAUCAGCAGGGAAGAAAAUGACGGUACCUGACUAAGAAGCCCCGGCUAACUACGUGCCAGCAGCCGCGGUAAUACGUAGGGGGCAAGCGUUAUCCGGAUUUACUGGGUGUAAAGGGAGCGUAGGCGGUGAUGCAAGUCAGAAGUGAAAGCCCGCAGCUCAACUGCGGGACUGCUUUUGAAACUGUAUGACUAGAUUGCAGGAGAGGUAAGUGGAAUUCCUAGUGUAGCGGUGAAAUGCAUAGAUAUCACGCAGAACUCCGAUUGCGAAGGCAGCAUACCGGAGCCCAACUGACGCUGAAGCACGAAAGCGUGGGUAUCGAACAGGAUUAGAUACCCGGGUAGUC
RNAcentral lists this ribosomal RNA (440 nucleotides) under uncultured bacterium. Its description in RNAcentral is "partial 16S ribosomal RNA". It matches the Rfam family "Bacterial small subunit ribosomal RNA", at positions 338 to 795 of the family's 1533-position model. The record is from RNAcentral.